Molecule: long non-coding RNA, 4527 nt
Filed under: Octopus vulgaris (common octopus)
Lineage: Eukaryota; Metazoa; Mollusca; Cephalopoda; Octopoda; Octopodidae
Source: RNAcentral
GAAAUACGACUGACCACAAACUAAGAGCAGGGUGGGUCUCUGGAUCCGGGUAGUCUUUGAAUGUGCUAGAAACAGCAGCCAGAAUCUCCUUCAUUUCAUGCUCAGACGUCUGAAAGAAAAACAAGAAAUCAAAAACGAAACAAAUCAGGAAAAAGGCAAAAAUACAAGGGGUGGUCACGAUUGGAAUGUUUCUGAUGAAAAGUACAAAGGAUCGGAGGUAAACAACGUUUAUGGAUUAAGAUAAAAUUAAUGUAUUGUAAUAAUUAAUCUCUAAUUAAUCUGUUUUUAUUCUUAAAAAAAGCAACUUUCACUUACAGGGGUUCUCUACGUGUUCACUUCACGACCCGGUAGAAAUAGCAGCCAAAUCUCAUCUCGUCUCAGCAAAAUUAACAAAUAUAAUCACACACACACACACACACACACACACACACACACACAUACAUACAUACAUACACACACACACACAAACGCACACACAAACACACACGUGUACAUAAUCUAUACAUAUACACACAUAUACAUUCGGACAUACAACCAUACACACACACACAUCCUUAUAACUACGAAGUGGUCAUGGUUGAAAAGGCUUUGACCAGAAGAAGCCUACUCGGUCAAGAAUGACCACGGGUUAAAUAACAGGUUUCUGCUACAACCUUCUUGUUUCGUUUAAAAAGAAGCAAAACGUAAAUAAACAUUAAAAAAAGAGAAAGCAAUAACAGAAUUAUAGAAUUGUAGAAUAACAGCACAACAAUGCGAUGGAAUAAUGGAAUGAUAGAAUUAUGGAAUGACAAAAAGAGAAAUAGAAAAAAAGAAUCCUGAUCCCACCGAAUAAUAUAAAUCUAUCUAUCUAUCUAGAUUGGUUGGUGCUUUAUACAUGCCACCAGCAGGGAAGCCAGUCAAGGCGGUGCUGGCAUCGUCCACGUUUGGAUGGUGCUUUUUACGUGCCACCGGCAUGGGAAUCACAACUACAAUUUAAUUUGACUGUUUUUGAUGUACUUGACUCAAAAGGUUUCCACAAGGACAGCAUGUUGCCCGACAAUCCAAGGUACUUUUGAGUGGGCUGGAUGUGUGACUCAGGUCACACACACAUAUAUAUAUAUAUAUAUAUUAUAUAUAUAUAAGUACCAAAGUACCUUGGAUUCCAGAACAUCCCGUUGUGCUUGAGGAGACCUGUUGAGUCAAGUACAUUAACAUCGAAAUAAAUAUCAAUGGAAAUAGUAGUUGUGAUACCUGUGCCAGUGGCACAUAAAAAGCACCAUCCGAAUGUGGCGGAUGCCAGCGCCGCCUUGGCUGGCUUCCAUGCCGGUGGCACAUAAAAAGCACCAUCCAAACCUGGCCGAUGCCAGCGCCGCCUUGGCUGGCUUCCGCGCCGGUGGCACGUUAAAAGCACCAACCGAUCGUGGCAGAUGCCAGACUCCCCUGGCACCUGUACAGGUGGCACGUAGAAAGCACCCGCUACACUCACAGAGUGGUUGGCGUUAGGAAGGGCAUCCAGCCGUAGAAACACUGCCAGAUCAAGAUUGGAGCCUAGUUCAGUCAUCUGGCUUCCCAGACCCCAGUUGAACCGUCCAACCCAUGCUAGCAUGGAAAACGGACGCUAAACGAAGAUGAUGAUGAUGAUGAUAUAUAUAUAUAUAUAUAUAUAUAUAUAUGUAUAUAUACAACAUAUAUAUAUAUAUAUAUGCACGACAGGCUUUCAAUUUCUGCCUACCCAAUCCAUUAACAAGGCAUUGGUUAGUCUGAGGCUAUAGCAGAGGAUACACUCCCAAGGUGGCAUGCAGUGGGACUGAACCCAGAAUCAAGGUGGAACUGUCAUAGGCCUUCCUGGAUAAGUGUUAACCACAGGCUAAAUAACUUUCAGUGAAUUUCCAAAUUUUUUUCUUAGUAUUCUUCAUUAAAAUGGAAUAAGGGAGUUACAGAAUAAUGCUGCAUUGGAAUUAUGGAAUUAAGGAAUUACGGAAUGACUCAAUGAACUACAAAAUUUCAAAGAAAACGCUAGCAGACAAACCCUUAAUUCUUAACCACAAAUAUGACCCCACUACCCCUACAGAUAUCCGAAUGCUAUAAUCAUGUAGCAUUUUAAGUUUUGGUAAAAUGUCUCAAUUUCUCCAAAGAACGCAGAAGGAAUUCACAAGAAACUCUUAGCUUCUUUGAAAUGUGUGAAGCAAUAAGACUGCCUGAAGAAUCCUCAGAAGACGAGGUGUUGGCUGCUUUUGUUGUAAACUGAGACACCAAAAGUUUGAGAACUCUGGAAUUAUAACUUUCUGUCAAGUCAAACUAUAUAUAACCCCCCCACACACACACACACACAAACAUACAUACAUACAUACAUACAUAGAAACAUAUGCACAUAUAUAUAUAUAUACAUAUAUUAUAAUAAUGAUGAUGAUGAUAAUAAUAAUAAUAAUAAUAAUAAUAAUAAUAAUAAUAAGAAGAAGAAGAAGAAGAAGAAGAAGAAGAAGAAGAAGAAGAAGAAGAAGAAGAAAUGCCCUGAUGCAGUACCAUACAGUGGCUCCCAUGGCUUCUGAUCCUAACUGAUUGGAAUUGUUAUCAUGUACAUUGUUUUGUCUUGGUAUAAAAGAUGGCCUACAGCAAAUAUUCUGCUCAAUACCACAGAUUUGCUUGUCAGUUGUUUGACCUUAACCUGUUGAGCAUGUCCCUUAGUGGCUGACGAUAUGUGCAUCUCUGAUCACGAGCAGAAGUAGUUGGGGAGCAUCAUAGUUAUAUGUUGAGAGGGAUUCUUUGGGGUUUGGAUAAUUCACCUCUGGAAACAUAGGUGGUUCGCUCAACAUCCUUAAACAACCCUUAUUCAGGGAUCUUUUGAGUGGGAUGGGUUACUUAAUCAGAAGAAAAUUCUAACUGGGCCCCAUCUGCAAGGUCAUAUGCUGUUUAUCUUGAUAUGAGAUCACCAUGUCGCGCACAUAUGGUUGUGAUGCAUGUGCCUGGUGUACCCUUAUCAGACGGGUAGUCAUGAUGGGUAUAUUGGGCUUCGUAUAUUUGUACCCCAGUGUCACUUUGAUGGAAUGCACUGCUCUCUCACUCAAUAAUAAUAAUAAUAAUAAUAAUAAGUUGAAGGAAUAUUAUUCCUAACUUACAUGGAAAAAUUCAAUCUAGAAAUACUAAAUCAAAUUUCACAAAAUAUAAUAUAUAUAUAUAUAUAUAAAAAUUAGAAAAAAAAAACACCUUUUAUCAAUUCAAAAUGAACAAUUCAAUUACACCAUCUAGAAAAUUACAUAUAAUAGAAAUAUAAAAUAUAUUAAAAAAAUAUAAAAAAUAAAAUAACAAUAAUAUACUGAUGAUUAAGUAAAUUGCAAAAUAAUAAUAAAAACGUAUAUAUUUGAUAUAUAUAUCUCUCUAUAUAAACGGUAGUUUGUCUGUCUGUGUGUCUGUGUGUCUGUCAGGUUGUACCCUCACCCUGACCACGGCUUCCAACCGAUUCUGAUGAAACUUGACACACACAUAGCCCAAUGUCAUAAUUCAAAACUAACGCAGCGAAAAUUUUGAAAAGUUCCCCCAGUUCUGAAAAAAUCGAUAAAUUCGACAUGGGGUCGAGAAUCUAAGCUUUUCAUAUGCAACACAUUUUCUGGGCUGUGCGUGGGCUGUUCACACGUUGGGAGGCACAAUGAUGUUUUCAUGUUUUCGCCCAAAGGGACAGCUAGGAACAUCGUAUACACAGAAGUAUUCGAGUGAAGAGAAGACAUUGCAACCUACACAUGCGCCUUCGUUCCCUAGAGGGAAAGGACUAGAUUGGGAUUAGUCGUUGCCUACUAGGGGCUCUUACAUACCCGGGCAACGCCGGGCUAUGCUGCUAGUAUAUACUAAUCUUUUAGCUCUGUAAUGUUUAUUUUCUGGACCUGCACUCACCUAUAUUAGUGAUUCUGUUAUUAAACAUUUUAAAAUUGUUACACAAGAUAAUCCUAGAAUCAAUCUUCACAAAUUAUUCUCUCGUGAAUUAUUUUUCUCUCAUGAAUUAUUUGCUCCUUAUAUGUAUAUAGAUAUAUAUAAAUAUAUAUUCGUUUAUUCUUUUAUGCAUUUCAGCUAUGCUGUGGCCAUGCUGGAGCACCACCAAUAUUAUCAUCUUUCCAAUGGUCAUUCUUAUUAUGUGAUUGCUUUUUGGUGAAAGUGGGAAUUCGAUAUUGCUGUCCUUUUUAUACACACACACACAUACACGCAUACAUAUACAUACACGCACACAUAUACACACACAUUCUUUCAUGCCCACACAUGCACAUGCGAGAAUAUGCUAUACAUGCAUGCAUAAAUACAAACAUAUACACACACCUACACCUAUGCACAUACAUAUGCAUAUGUUAUAUAUACAUAUAUAAAUGCACACAUAUGCACACACAUAUACACACAUACACGCAACUACGCAUGCAUACAUAUAUACUCACAAAUACACACACACUCACACAUUCAUAUAUAUAUAGAGACUAUGACAAAUACACAUGCACAUAUACAUACACUUUGACCUAGAUAUAUACAUAUUUACAUACACACACACACACCAGUUAUAUAGACUCACCA